UUUUAUGGAGAGUUUGAUCCUGGCUCAGGAUGAACGCUGGCGGCGUGCCUAAUACAUGCAAGUCGAGCGAACGGACGAGAAGCUUGCUUCUCUGAUGUUAGCGGCGGACGGGUGAGUAACACGUGGAUAACCUACCUAUAAGACUGGGAUAACUUCGGGAAACCGGAGCUAAUACCGGAUGAUAUUUUUAACCGCAUGGUU
Molecule: ribosomal RNA, 201 nt
Filed under: Staphylococcus aureus
Lineage: Bacteria; Bacillati; Bacillota; Bacilli; Caryophanales; Staphylococcaceae
Description: partial 16S ribosomal RNA
Rfam family: Bacterial small subunit ribosomal RNA
Source: RNAcentral